RNAcentral lists this ribosomal RNA (496 nucleotides) under uncultured bacterium. RNAcentral describes it as "partial 16S ribosomal RNA". It matches the Rfam family "Bacterial small subunit ribosomal RNA", at positions 29 to 507 of the family's 1533-position model. The record is from RNAcentral.
AUGAACGCUGGCGGCGUGCCUAAUACAUGCAAGUCGCGCGAACAGAUAAGGAGCUUGCUCCUUUGACGUUAGCGGCGGACGGGUGAGUAACACGUGGGUAACCUACCUAUAAGACUGGGAUAACUUCGGGAAACCGGAGCUAAUACCGGAUAACAUUUGGAACCGCAUGGUUCUAAAGUGAAAGAUGGUUUUGCUAUCACUUAUAGAUGGACCCGCGCCGUAUUAGCUAGUUGGUAAGGUAACGGCUUACCAAGGCGACGAUACGUAGCCGACCUGAGAGGGUGAUCGGCCACACUGGAACUGAGACACGGUCCAGACUCCUACGGGAGGCAGCAGUAGGGAAUCUUCCGCAAUAGGCGAAAGCCUGACGGAGCAACGCCGCGUGAGUGAUGAAGGGUUUCGGCUCGUAAAACUCUGUUAUUAGGGAAGAACAAAUGUGUAAGUAACUGUGCACGUCUUGACGGUACCUAAUCAGAAAGCCACGGCUAACUACGUG